GAUGAACGCUGGCGGCGUGCCUAAUACAUGCAAGUCGAGCGAACAGACGAGGGGCUUGCUCCUCUGACGUUAGCGGCGGACGGGUGAGUAACACGUGGAUAACCUACCUAUAAGACUGGGAUAACUUCGGGAAACCGGAGCUAAUACCGGAUAAUAUAUUGAACCGCAUGGUUCAAUAGUGAAAGACGGUUUUGCUGUCACUUAUAGAUGGAUCCGCGCCGCAUUAGCUAGUUGGUAAGGUAACGGCUUACCAAGGCGACGAUGCGUAGCCGACCUGAGAGGGUGAUCGGCCACACUGGAACUGAGACACGGUCCAGACUCCUACGGGAGGCAGCAGUAGGGAAUCUUCCGCAAAGGGCGAAAGCCUGACGGAGCAACGCCGCGUGAGUGAUGAAGGUCUUCGGAUCGUAAAACUCUGUUAUUAGGGAAGAACAAAUGUGUAAGUAACUAUGCACGUCUUGACGGUACCUAAUCAGAAAGCCACGGCUAACUACGUG
RNAcentral lists this ribosomal RNA (497 nucleotides) under uncultured bacterium. Its description in RNAcentral is "partial 16S ribosomal RNA". It matches the Rfam family "Bacterial small subunit ribosomal RNA", at positions 28 to 507 of the family's 1533-position model. The record is from RNAcentral.